This 76-nucleotide transfer RNA is filed under the name Aggregatibacter actinomycetemcomitans NUM4039. Its description in RNAcentral is "tRNA-Gly". The record is from RNAcentral. Lineage: Bacteria; Pseudomonadati; Pseudomonadota; Gammaproteobacteria; Pasteurellales; Pasteurellaceae.
UUGCCAAGGUUGGGGUCGCGAGUUCGAGCCUCGUUUCCCGCUCCAAAACUAACGGCGUGUUAGCAAAGCGGUUAUG